UACGUAGGGUGCAAGCGUUGUCCGGAAUCAUUGGGCGUAAAGCGCGCGUAGGUGGCUUCGUAAGUCCGUUGUGAAAGUCAAAGGCUCAACCUUUGAAAGCCGAUGGAUACUGCGGAGCUAGAGUACGGAAGAGGCGAGUGGAAUUCCUGGUGUAGCGGUGGAAUGCGCAGAUAUCAGGAGGAACACCAAUAGCGAAGGCAGCUCGCUGGGACGUUACUGACACUAAGGCGCGAAAGCAUGGGGAGCGAACAGG
RNAcentral lists this ribosomal RNA (253 nucleotides) under uncultured bacterium. Its description in RNAcentral is "partial 16S ribosomal RNA". It matches the Rfam family "Bacterial small subunit ribosomal RNA", at positions 524 to 776 of the family's 1533-position model. The record is from RNAcentral.